Molecule: long non-coding RNA, 738 nt
Filed under: Homo sapiens (human)
Lineage: Eukaryota; Metazoa; Chordata; Mammalia; Primates; Hominidae
Description: non-protein coding lnc-LINC02210-CRHR1-3:1
Source: RNAcentral
AUGUGUCUGUUUCUCCUUGGAGUUCUAUGAGUCCUCAUGUAUUUUGAGGCUCUGUUAUUAAGUUCAUAAACCUUUAGGAAGGAUUGUUUUUGGAUGGGCUAAGAUAUUAUUCGCUAUUUUAAAUGUUGGACCAUCUCUUGUUCCAAACAUGCCCAUGGGUGAGCAGAAUUGAACAGCACGAACUGUAUGCAAGACUAUUUAUCACUGCGUAACUAGGACAUGCCUCUCCACUACUCACAAAUCAUGUUGCCCAACUUUUUCAAAACCCUUUUGGCUCUCACUUUAAUUAUCAUGUUUAAUCUCUUGAGGUACUGAUACCUGAAAACAGAUGUCAUUAAUUUCCCUUAUAAUCUUGACCUCCCUAUUGUUACUGAAAGUACUACCAUUCUUAGGGAGGUGUAGGUGAUGCAUUCCUCUCUCUACAUUCUAUGACACUGCAACUACGUAUUUAAUACAAAGCAGCCUUUGGGGGCGGGGCGGGGCGGUUAACAAAAUGCAUCUCAGCACCAGCCUAGAGAAACUUUUCUGUGUGUAAACAGAAGAGGGGUUACCAUGGAGAAAUUCAUUACGGAUUUCGGGAGGGCUUUUUCCUCAGAAAUAGAGUGAAAAGAAUAAGUCGUUGUGUAAUAAAUCUGAUACUGACGCUGUGUGACUUAGAAGUUGGUCCAAAAGUUCAUCUUAGGCACUUAUGCCUAGAUGAUCAACUACACAUCUUCUGCAACAGGUGACACGAACCUG